Small nucleolar RNA from Papaver somniferum (opium poppy), 95 nucleotides. RefSeq annotates it as small nucleolar RNA snR60/Z15/Z230/Z193/J17. The transcript has a single exon. The record is from RefSeq and is a predicted model, not a curated record. NCBI's taxonomy places the organism in Eukaryota, Viridiplantae, Streptophyta, Magnoliopsida, Ranunculales, Papaveraceae.
AGUAAAGAAGUGAUGAUUGUUGCAUAGUUCAGAUGAGAUUCAUCUCUGAUUAAUUGAAACAGAAAUUAGUCUUUCGCUCCUAUCUGAUCACCCAC